Molecule: non-coding RNA, 73 nt
Organism: Bos taurus (domestic cattle)
Lineage: Eukaryota; Metazoa; Chordata; Mammalia; Artiodactyla; Bovidae
Source: Rfam
UCCCUGAUGGCUCAGAAGGUAAAGCGUCUGCCUGCUAUGCAGGAGAUACGGGUUCGAUCCCUGGGUCAGAGAG